This is a long non-coding RNA of Triticum aestivum (bread wheat), 3220 nucleotides long. RefSeq lists it as uncharacterized. Lineage: Eukaryota; Viridiplantae; Streptophyta; Magnoliopsida; Poales; Poaceae. The transcript is spliced from 6 exons. The record is from RefSeq and is a predicted model, not a curated record.
GAUGUUUGAUGUAUUAAUUAAUCUUGUACAAUUUGGAUUUAGUUUGGUGACAGUGUGCUCAUCAGUAAGAGCAACACGAGCAAGAAGAUCCUGGAUAUACUUCCCUUAGGAAAUAAAGAAGCCAUUAGAGGUAUAAAAAAUCUCAAUCUCAAGGAAGUAGCGUCUUUUUUAGUAAACGUGGAGCAAUUUGGAAUUAGUUAGGCGAUUGUGAUCUUGAACAAAUUUCAUAGUGAAUUACGAGAUUUUUCAAUGAGUUUAGUUGAUUGUGAUCUGGAGGAGAUUGUUAAAGAUAUUUGAUGGUUUAUGUGAUCUUGAACAAUUUGGACUUAGUUAGGUAGUUGUGAUACUGAACCGAAUUAUGAGAUUUUUGAUUGAUUAUGAGAUUAUGGUAUAUAAGAUUUUAAUUGGAUUUAGUUAGGUGAUUGUGAUCUUGAACCAAAUUUUAUGAUGAAUUAUGACAUUUUUGAUGGAUUAGUUAGUUGAUUGUGAUCUUGAGGAUAUAGUUAAAGAUGUUUGAUGUAUUAAUUAAUCUUCAACAAUUUGGAUUUAGUUAGGUGAUUGUGAUAUUGAACCAAAUUUCUCUGUGAUUUAUGAGAUUUUAGUUGGAUUUAGUUAGGUGGUUGUGUCUUGGGAAGAUGGUCAAAGAUGUUAGGUGGAUUAUGAGAUUUUGGGUCUAAUAGAUGAGCAUGGUGAUUAUUACAUUGGUGGAUAUAUGAAUUUUUAAUAAAUUUGGAAUAAUUUGGAUUUAGUUAGGCGACUGUGCUCUUGAACCAACCUUUAUGGUUGAUUAUGAGAUUUUGUUCGGCUGCGCCAUGCCUCUUCGUCGAGGAGCAUGCGCAGUGCAGUGGUGCGGCAGCUCGUGUGGCGUGCAGUGGCUUUAGAAGGCGGGGCGCCGACACCUGCAGCUUGUGCACCAUGGCGACUCCACGCAUCUUCUGCGCCCUGCAACCCUCUCCUUGCGGGGCAAAACAGGUGAUUCAGGUGAAUGGUGCUUUAGCUUCAAUGACCAAUUUUAUUAAAAAAGGGCAGCCCCAGUGCAUGUAGCUCCCGCUUGCGCAGGGUCUGGGGAAGGGUCCGACCACUUUGGGUCUAUUGUACGCAGCCUUUCCCUACAUUUCUGUAAGAGGCUGUUUCCAGGACUUGAACCCGUGACCUCAUGGUCACAAGGCAGCAGCUUUACCACUGCGCCAAAUAUUUUUCCCACUGGAAGUGUCAAAGAAUAUACAACUUGAUAUAGAGAAGUUUUCUUAUGGGGAAAUAAAGAUUCUUGUAUGCAGAACUAUUUGGGCUCUUGCAGCUGUAUCAGUUGGUUUUAGUUCUCAGAUUUUUACUUUGCCUGUUUUGGCAAAAAAAUUGGAUGUAUAUGAAUCUGAGAUCUGGAUCACUGCUUCUUUUCAUCUGCAGUCGCGAGGAAGAGUAGGAAGAUCAGGCAGAGAGGGUUUCACAUACCUCUUCUACACUGACAAGUCUUUGCUUUCCAGGAUUGCCAUGGUGAGCUGCUACUGUAAAAAAAGGGCAACCUGGUGCAUGUAGCUCCCGCUUGCACAGGGUCCAGGGAAGGGUCCGACCACUUUGGGUCUAUAGUACGCAGCCUUUCCCUACAUUUCUGUAAGAGGCUGUUUCCAGGGGGAGCUUUGGAUGGUGUUCUUCAUAUUCCGCACAGUGACAAGAGACUUGCUGGCUUCAAGAAGGAUAAGAAGCAACUGGGCGCUGAGAUUCACCGCAAAUACAGCUAUGAAGGUCAUGUUGCUGACUACAUGAAGGUGAGUUGGAUCCAUUGCCCUCGUGGUAUUAUAAUGCCAUUUCUUCACUCCCUAGGGCUAUCGUUGUUGUAUACAUGAAUUCUUUUUGGAAGAUAUAUAUGGGCCUGAUUCACCCAUAUAAAAUUAUUAUGCUUCACUGUCAACUAUCUGCUGUAGAAGAACACGAGAUGUGUGUCAAGCAUGAGGACAAAUUCAGAGCUGGUGUUCGAUGGCCUCUGCAAGUGCAUCCAUGCAAAUAUUGCAGGGUGGUAUGUGCCUUCCAUAGGCUGGAAGAUAACCUACAAGGCUACAACUACCCCAUGCACGACAGCUCGAGUUGAAUUCACGUCAUGCACUACAUCCGGGAGUACAACGGGCUAAACCUUGAGAGGCAGAUCACUUAGCAUCUAUUGGCCUAGCUGCGCAAGUCCAUUGCUUACAAGGUGAUCUCGAUGAGGGGAAACAAGGGUGAACUAUGAAGUUUCAUGAUCCAGGAUGUGAUCUUCUGAAGAUGAUGGAUGUGCUGCAGUCUGGCGUUUGGCAUUUUGGCUUGGUCUAUGAAGACUACAGAUUUCUGUGGAAGAUCAAAAUACCUCCUAAAAUCAGAAUGUUCCUUUGGUUGGUGCUGAGGGAAAGCAUUUUAAUUAGAGACUUCUGCUGAAUAGGGGUGGAAAAUGUGAAUCGGGUUGUCUUUUCUGUGGCCACAAAGACUCGAUAAAUCAUCUGUUUUGCUUAGUACAUUUGGAAUGUGAUCCAGUGUAGUCUGGGGGUUGAAUGUAGGUUCACAGAUGCAAAAGCCUGUUUUAAUGGAUGGCUUAAAGGGAUGCACUCCCAGUGGGUGUAGCAGCUGUUCUCUGGGGGAUUUGGAAAGCGAGGAACUUGGCGUGCUUUAAUCAUAAAUGGCCUGUUGAUCUGUCUAUUGUUAUGUUUCGAGUUGCCUAUUGGAUUACUGACUGGAGUGUCUUGCAGGUGUCGGAGGACGCAAAACUGUUACUUCUGGAGCAAGUCGCGGCUGAAGUUUAUGGCGUCAAAAGAAGCUGGGCGAUGGGAGCUGAUGCUGGGAUUGUGAUGUCUUAGGAUUGUGUUUGGGCUGCGUUAAUUUUUGUUAGUGUUCAUGUUGUGUUUCCGUCCUUGUUAGACUUUCCGGCUAUCGGCAUGUUGCUGGAGUUAAUUUCCUAGGCUGCUGUUCAACUAGGGUCUAUCUUCUCCCCUGGGUCGGUUCGAUCUCAGGGUCACUACACCACGGUUGUUAAUUGAAGGCAUUUUUCUAAGGGCAGUUUGUAAAUGCCUCAAAUUCGCGCUCAAAGGUGGCGUUUUAGGAAAAUGCCUCGGAUUGAUGCAGCUUUGGAGGCGUUCUAGAAAAGUGCCUCGGUUGAUCCAGCUUUUGGAGGCACUUUUGGAAAGCGCCUUGGAUUAUUGCAGAUUUGGAGGCGUUUUAGCAAAAUGCCUUUGGAUUGAUGCAGUGCAGCAGGGCCGGC